CAAUAGCGUAUAUUAAAGUUGUUGCGGUUAAAAAGCUCGUAGUUGGAUUUCUGCCGAGGACGACCGGUCCGCCCUCUGGGUGUGUAUCUGGUUUGGCCUGGGCAUCUUCUUGGAGAACGUAGCUGCACUUGACUGUGUGGUGCGGUGUCCAGGACUUUUACUUUGAGGAAAUUAGAGUGUUUCAAGCAGGCACACGCCUUGAAUACAUUAGCAUGGAAUAAUAAGAUAGGACCUCGGUUCUAUUUUGUUGGUUUCUAGAGCUGAGGUAAUGAUUAAUAGGGAUAGUUGGGGGCAUUCGUAUUUAACUGUCAGAGGUGAAAUUCUUGGAUUUUUUAAAGACGAACUAUUGCGAAGGCAUCUGCCCAGGAUGUUUUUAUUGA
RNAcentral lists this ribosomal RNA (380 nucleotides) under uncultured eukaryote. RNAcentral describes it as "partial 18S ribosomal RNA". It matches the Rfam family "Eukaryotic small subunit ribosomal RNA", at positions 592 to 976 of the family's 1831-position model. The record is from RNAcentral.